CGCAGGGUUGCCCAGGAACAUGGUUUCACACAUUCUCCUGUAGGAAAUCCAUAACCACUAUCACCACGUGGUCAUUUCCAGCAUCUUGGGAUGUAGAGGAUGCCGGCUGGUCCCUGCAGUGGCAGAUCCUGUGGCAACUCUGGAAAUCCUGUGAAGAACUUACGGAGGCCCUGUGAAGAUCCUAUGGAGAUCCAGUCGAGGUCCUAUGAAGAUCCACGGAGAACCUAUGGAUGUCCUGCAAAGGUGUUUCUCUCACAUGGAGGAAAAGACAUAAGCCAUUGGAAGAGGCUCAGAUAAUUCUGCCCACCUCAGAUCCCAGAGGUAGAACACACGGGCUGGGAAAGGAAAGGAGCGUGUCAUCAACAGCCCCCAUCACCACCCCUCCAGGUGACUCACUGGGCAGAUAAGCACGUCCUGGGCCUGCACUUUUAGAAAAACAAACAAAAAACAAAAACCCAGUGCUGAUGGC
This 469-nucleotide long non-coding RNA is filed under the name Homo sapiens (human). RNAcentral describes it as "non-protein coding lnc-LILRA6-2:1". The record is from RNAcentral. Lineage: Eukaryota; Metazoa; Chordata; Mammalia; Primates; Hominidae.